CACAGUACACUUUUUGGGUAAUAAUGAACGUAAAAUAUAUAUCUGGUUAUUUCAAUACGGUAUGUGUCAUCUUCAUUUCCUUCUAAAUCAAAGAUAAGUAUCCAUUUUGCAGAGAAAAUAAUUAGAACAUAUUUGCCUUUCACUUUAUGAAGUACUUUCAUUAGUUUAAAUAACAUCAUCUGAUUUGAUCCUUGCACCAAGUCUGAGAUGUAGGAUGGUUACCAAAGCACUUCUCUUGAUUUUACAGUGAGGAAACUUAGGCUCAAGUUGACACUCAAGCUCACCUUGCAAGAUAGUGGCAGAGCUGAUAAGUUCAAUGCUCUUUCUGUCAUCCCAUGCUGCCAUAAAUAUCGCCUUCCUCUACCUUUAGUUUGCUGCUUCUAAUCUAAUGGACUUGGGAGAAGCAACUUACGAGAAUGGUAUGUAAGCCAAGAGCAAA
RNAcentral lists this long non-coding RNA (439 nucleotides) under Papio anubis (olive baboon). Its description in RNAcentral is "lncRNA (ENSPANG00000049342.1)". The record is from RNAcentral. Lineage: Eukaryota; Metazoa; Chordata; Mammalia; Primates; Cercopithecidae.